Molecule: RNA transcript, 3046 nt
Organism: Pocillopora verrucosa
Lineage: Eukaryota; Metazoa; Cnidaria; Anthozoa; Scleractinia; Pocilloporidae
Source: RefSeq, a predicted model, not a curated record
AUUAUUACUAAUGCUUGUGAGCCCUCUUUGCCGAGAACUCCGCUAUCCAAGUACUAUGGCUAUGAUGGUCGAAGGUGAGUGUACCGUUGAUUUAUUGGGAGUUUCGGGAAGAAAGGCUCUAGAUGCGUGCGUUAAAGUAAUCCUAGUCGAACGAGCCUGGAAGAAAACUUGUCCAAGGUCGAACAUGUACGACGACCUGUCCGAAGAGCCAAAGGUUGAAGAUUUGAUGGAAGCAAACCAUACAACCAUCGAUCGAGAUUUGCUCUGCGAAAGGACUCCCUGCAUUCAGAAAUUGUAUAUGGAUGAACAUGGAGCAAAAGAGCUCUGUGGACAUAACAGAAGCGAAGUUCGCGAGGCUACUUCCAAACACAAAAGGGGAAUGAAGCAACACGUUACUGAACUCCGAGCUAAUGACUCAAUUAGUGAACACACCGAACACGAAAGACUCGAAGCUACUUGUAAGGGUUUAAAGGAAACAAACAAGGGUGUAGACGAGCUCGGAGCCGAAGGCAUUGGUGGAUACGACGGAAGAAAAGGAAUCGAAACCAAUUGUGACCGUGUAAAGGAACUGAAGCAUCCUGUGCAUGGCUCUGGGUUUAUUAUUCAUGACCAUGUCAUUGUCACCAGCAAACAUGUAAUUAAACCAGUUUUAAACGAUCAAGGAGAAGGAUACGAAGUCUAUAUUUCCAAUGCCACCUUUGGUAUUCUCCCAUGCAAGGUUUUAUAUGUUGACGAACGCCAGGAUUUGGCAAUACUCCUUUGCCAACAACUUAAUUUAGAGAAAAAUGGAAUCCGUUCCUUGUUGCUGACGAACCAUUCGUUGUCACCAGUUGUGCCAAUUUUUUGUUUUGGUUAUCCCUUGAGUUAUAAAGGUGACAGAGCACUUGCUGUUUUUGGCAAAGUCUGUUCACAAGAGACUUCAUCAGACUCUCCACUUGUCCCACUAGAUUGCCCUCUUGACUCAGGAAAUUAUGGCAGCCCAGCACUCUGUUGGAUAAGUGAUCAGUUAAAAGUAGUUGGUGUGAUAACACAGAAAAACAUUCAUGGGAUUCAAACUCAGAAUUGGAAAGAUGGCAUCAAAUGUUUACAGGAAUCAUUGCCGAUUAUUGCCAAUCCUCAAAUACAGCGCUACCAAACAGCACCUUUGUUGACUUCUGACAUAGCUUCAGAGUAUUUGGGGAUACAUAGGCUAUAUGACAUUCUGAAGACACACAGUCCCUUUUGUGUAAUUCCAGGAAUUUGCUUAGUUGAUUUUAUUAAAACCUUUGCCAACAAACAUGAAGGCAAGCAUGAAGAAGAGUUAAGGGAGAUAAUCAAUUGCUUUGAUAUUCUUUCUUAGUAAUCAUUAUGAACUGCAUUUUAACAAUAGAUUCUGUUGCUGUGCACCUGUUCAGUAAUAGAUCACAGAUGAUGUCAAAAUGUGGUAAGAAAGUAGCUCACAAUACUUUGAUGUCUUCUGUGAUCUAUAGCUGUAUGGACCAACAGCAACAUGCAAUCUAUUUGUUUUAUAAAGUAAGGAAGAAAGAAUUGGUAAUGGCAGAUCAAGAUGUGCACAUGAGACUACAAACCUUAAAGGAAAAAAGGCUCUAAAAAUGUUCCAACCUUCGGAAAAUUUGUUUUUGGGAGGCUGAGGUGGAUUUUUCAAGUCAUGGCUCACAACCAUCUCUGGCCUUUUUGCCUUACAAGUCUGUGGUACAUAGUAUGUAGGCAUGUGUCUGGACAGUGGUUAUAGUCUUGCCUCAAUCAUCUCUGGUUUUAUACUUCUUUUAGCUGUGAUCUAGUGGGAAUUUUUCCAAUUGCCUCUUUGGGCUUGAAGUGCUUAGUGGAGGAUAAACUUUGGUAGAAUUUAUUGAUCACAUGGCCCCCAAAUCCUUCACCACUGCCAGUUCAUUGUUUAUUUAUUUAUCUUUCAGUCUGACCAAUUCAUUUACCUCCCAAAAAAUGUGUGGGUAUUGUCUCAUGAGUUUGAACUGGUGCCGUUUUCUUCAUGUUCAUGUGUUAUUCUAAACGAGUGGUGUCAGCUUCAUUAUGUCUUGUUUAUUUCAGUAGAAUACUUCUACCAUGCAAAAUGAAUUUUGAAUUGAAGUGUACUUUGAAGUAUGAGAAGUGUGAUACAACAAAUAGAUAAUUACUCAAGGGGCUGGAACUCCUUGUUUCUUUGGAAUGUUAACUACAGUAUUUCUGUCAUAUUUGAAAACAAAUUUCAGGUUGAAAUGUUUUCAAACUAGUUUGACUUGCAUUUCACGUUGCCAAAAAUGUCUAGAUCCUUCAAUUUGUAUUUCUUGAUUGAGGCUGAUGAUAGGAAUUAACUUUUAUGUUCUCUGUUGUUUAGGGAGAUGUGAAAUGGCCCCAAUACAUGCAGUUGGUACUAUUGACAGAAUGAGUAGGUGUGACAUUUAAUGUGGCAAGCUGGUAUUCACAAGAUUACAGGCUGGUGCUAUUUUUUUCAUCUGAAAAAUUUACUCAUGCUUACUUUUACCCAAUUGCACCUGAAAUCAUGUGAUAUCAAUACAAAACAUCAGAGUACCUUUAGUUCUUGUACAGUCUUCAUGUAAACGCAAGUGCAGAUGCCAUAUUGGAGCAAAUGUUGUCACCUCAUCCAACUGGAGAGCUGAAUAUGUCACACAAACUUGAAAGAUGAUAGUGUUUAAAAGUUUAUAAAGAGCCAUCAUAAGGGCAAGAGAGGUACUAAUAACUUGUCGUUAGCCUCUACAGGAAGCAUGUUGUAGGACAAAUCCACUGGCAUACAUUUCAGUUUAGCCUCAUUAUAAAAGAUUUCCUUACCACAAGGCAAAGUUGCUCUUGGUUUCUGUGAUUUUCUUGACUGAAAAUACAUUUUUGACAAAUACCCAUCUAUUUCAUUUAUUUCAGGGAAUUCUGUAAUUAUGUUGUGAAUAUUUAACAACCAUUCACCAAAGUACAAAGUAACACUGGCACAGAAAGCUAAAAUAGAGGGUGUUUUUAAAAGGCUGUAAUAUUGUUAUGGUAACUUGAUGCUAAUUAAAACAUUUUUUGAAAAAACUGGGCAUUGUUUUAUACCAUUUGU